Long non-coding RNA from Prosopis cineraria, 737 nucleotides. RefSeq lists it as uncharacterized. NCBI's taxonomy places the organism in Eukaryota, Viridiplantae, Streptophyta, Magnoliopsida, Fabales, Fabaceae. The transcript has 4 exons. The record is from RefSeq and is a predicted model, not a curated record.
UAAAGCUUCAUGUCAUAGAGCAGCACAGAAGCUAGACCCUUAUGAAUGGUGGUCGUUUUAUGGAAGUUCUGUUCCAGAGUUGCAAAAUCUUGCAAUGCGUAUUCUUAGCCAAACUUCUUCCUCUUCUGGUUGUGAGAGAAAUUGGAGCUUGUUUGAACGCAUCCAUACCAAAAGAAGAAAUAGAUUGGAACAUCAAAGACUAAAUGAUUUAGUCUUUACAAACUACAAUCUAUGAUUGAAGAAUAGGAGCCAAUUGAAGAAAAAGACAAGUUUUGAUCCAAUUGAUUAUGAAUCUAUUGACAAAUUGGACUUUUGGAUUGCUGAAGAGGAACAAGAGCCAGCUCCUGAGUUUGAUGCUGAUGAUGUCACUAAUUUGGAAAGUGCUAUGCAUAAUGAGAAUGUUGUAGCUUCAUCAGCUUCUGAGAGAAAUAAUGAAGGGGAAGAAGAUAUGAAUAUUUCAGAGCAUCCACAUUUGAAUGAUGAUGUUGGAAGUGGUUCUGGUUUCUCUCAAUCAUCUCCUAAUGUUUCAAUCCUUACUCCCGGAGAUUUGAAUGAAAUUAAUGAGGAUUUUGGUGUUGAUUAUUAUUAGCUUUAGACUUUUUGAUGAUUAAAGGAUUGUAAGGAUGAAUAUUUUAAAUGUUGUGUUUUUAAUGAUGUUUUGAUGAUUAUCUUGGACUUGUAUGUGAUAUUAUAUAAGAUAUUAAGUCUUAGAGAAUUUAUUUUUAUUUAAAUCAUAU